GACGGAGGAUGCAAGCGUUGUCCGGAAUCAUUGGGCGUAAAGCGCGUGUAGGCGGCUCGGUAAGUCUGCUGUGAAAGUCCAGGGCUCAACCCUGGGAUGCCGGUGGAUACUGUCGAGCUCGAGUCCGGAAGAGGCGAGUGGAAUUCCUGGUGUAGCGGUGAAAUGCGCAGAUAUCAGGAAGAACACCAAUGGCGAAGGCAGCUCUCUGGGACGGUACUGACGCUGAGACGCGAAAGCGUGUGGAGCGAACAGG
Molecule: ribosomal RNA, 253 nt
Filed under: uncultured bacterium
Lineage: Bacteria
Description: partial 16S ribosomal RNA
Rfam family: Bacterial small subunit ribosomal RNA
Source: RNAcentral